UGUUAAAAAUUUCAUCCAUUUUUACUAUUAAAACCCAGUGUGGCUGAUGAAAUAACAAGACAAUGAUAUGUGGCAUACGACAUGUACAUCAUGCUAAUGCACAUGAAUCAGUUUUUAAUAGUAGAAAUAGAUAGAAAUUUUUAACA
Gossypium hirsutum (cotton) is the source of this 146-nucleotide non-coding RNA. NCBI's taxonomy places the organism in Eukaryota, Viridiplantae, Streptophyta, Magnoliopsida, Malvales, Malvaceae. The record is from Rfam.